AUUGAACGCUGGCGGCAGGCCUAACACAUGCAAGUCGAGCGGAUGAAGGGAGCUUGCUCCUGGAUUCAGCGGCGGACGGGUGAGUAAUGCCUAGGAAUCUGCCUGGUAGUGGGGGAUAACGUCCGGAAACGGGCGCUAAUACCGCAUACGUCCUGAGGGAGAAAGUGGGGGAUCUUCGGACCUCACGCUAUCAGAUGAGCCUAGGUCGGAUUAGCUAGUUGGUGGGGUAAAGGCCUACCAAGGCGACGAUCCGUAACUGGUCUGAGAGGAUGAUCAGUCACACUGGAACUGAGACACGGUCCAGACUCCUACGGGAGGCAGCAGUGGGGAAUAUUGGACAAUGGGCGAAAGCCUGAUCCAGCCAUGCCGCGUGUGUGAAGAAGGUCUUCGGAUUGUAAAGCACUUUAUGUUGGGAGGAAGGGCAGUAAGUUAAUACCUUGCUGUUUUGACGUUACCAACAGAAUAAGCACCGGCUAACUUCGUG
Molecule: ribosomal RNA, 484 nt
Filed under: uncultured bacterium
Lineage: Bacteria
Description: partial 16S ribosomal RNA
Rfam family: Bacterial small subunit ribosomal RNA
Source: RNAcentral